GAUGAAGAACGUAGCGAAAUGCGAUACUUGGUGUGAAUUGCAGAAUCCCGUGAACCAUCGAGUCUUUGAACGCAAGUUGCGCCUCAAGCCAUUAGGUUGAGGGCACGUCUGCCUGGGCGUCACAUAUCGUUGCCUGAUGCCAGUUUCCUCGUGAUGGGUGACUGUGCAGGGCGAAUGAUGGCUUCCCGUGAGCAUUGUUGCCUCAUGGUUGGUUGAAAAUUGAGUCCUUGGUAGGGAGCGCCGUGAUAGAUGGUGGUUGAGUGACGAACGAGACCCAAUCAUGUGAGACCCCUACCGAAUUUGGCCUUCAUGACCCACAUGCGUCUUUGGAACGCUCAUGACGUGACCUCAGGUCAGGCGGGGCUACCCGCUGAGUUUAAGCAUAUCAAUAAGCGGAGGA
RNAcentral lists this unclassified non-coding RNA (400 nucleotides) under soil metagenome. RNAcentral describes it as "partial contains 5.8S ribosomal RNA, internal transcribed spacer 2, and large subunit ribosomal RNA". The stretch from base 1 to 122 matches the Rfam family "5.8S ribosomal RNA", at positions 35 to 154 of the family's 154-position model. The record is from RNAcentral.